ACCGAGCUGGCGAAGGCCGUCGCCCGCGCCUGCGAGGCCCGGCUGGUGCGGCUCCAGUGCUACGAGGGCGUGGACGAGUCGCGCGCGCUGUAC
Molecule: transfer RNA, 93 nt
Filed under: Streptomyces griseorubens
Lineage: Bacteria; Bacillati; Actinomycetota; Actinomycetes; Kitasatosporales; Streptomycetaceae
Description: tRNA-Arg
Source: RNAcentral